This 252-nucleotide ribosomal RNA is filed under the name uncultured bacterium. RNAcentral's name for it is "partial 16S ribosomal RNA". It matches the Rfam family "Bacterial small subunit ribosomal RNA", at positions 524 to 776 of the family's 1533-position model. The record is from RNAcentral.
UACGUAGGUGACAAGCGUUGUCCGGAUUACUGGGCGUAAAGAGCGCGCAGGCGGUCGUUCAAGUCGAGUGUGAAAGCCCCCGGCUCAACUGGGGAGGGUCAUUCGAUACUGAUCGACUCGAAGGCAGGAGAGGGAAGUGGAAUUCCCGGUGUAGUGGUGAAAUGCGUAGAUAUCGGGAGGAACACCAGUGGCGAAGGCGACUUCCUGGCCUGUUCUUGACGCUGAGGCGCGAAAGCUAGGGUAGCAAACGGG